Molecule: unclassified non-coding RNA, 206 nt
Filed under: Hevea brasiliensis (rubber tree)
Lineage: Eukaryota; Viridiplantae; Streptophyta; Magnoliopsida; Malpighiales; Euphorbiaceae
Source: RNAcentral
AGUGAUAAUGGCAAGCAUGUCCUUUACACCCACAAGAGCAUCACUGUCAAAUACAAUAAAGAUCAGAUUAUCCAUGUCAAUCUUACACAAGAUGGUCCCAAGCCCUUAGAAGCCGGUAGAAUAUAUGACUUGACAUAUUCUGUUAAAUGGAUUUCAACUAAUAUCACUUUUGCUCGUCGUUUUGAUGUGUAUUUGGACUACCCUUU